UACGUAGGGUGCUAGCGUUGUUCGGAAUCACUGGGCGUAAAGAGCGCGUAGGCGGUCUGAUAAGUCAGGUGUGAAAUCCCCCGGCUCAACCUGGGAACUGCACCUGAUACUGUUGGGCUUGAGUGCAAGAGGGGAGAGCGGAAUUCCUGGUGGAGCGGUGAAAUGCGUAGAUAUCAGGAGGAAAGCCGGCGGCGAAAGCGGCUCUCUGGGGUGUCUACUGACGCUGAGGCGCGAAAGCUAGGGGAGCAAACGGG
This 254-nucleotide ribosomal RNA is filed under the name uncultured bacterium. RNAcentral describes it as "partial 16S ribosomal RNA". It matches the Rfam family "Bacterial small subunit ribosomal RNA", at positions 524 to 776 of the family's 1533-position model. The record is from RNAcentral.